This 794-nucleotide ribosomal RNA is filed under the name Steinernema carpocapsae. Its description in RNAcentral is "SSU rRNA". It matches the Rfam family "Eukaryotic small subunit ribosomal RNA", at positions 610 to 1428 of the family's 1831-position model. The record is from RNAcentral. Lineage: Eukaryota; Metazoa; Nematoda; Chromadorea; Rhabditida; Steinernematidae.
UUGUUGCGGUUAAAAGCUCGUAGUUGGAUCUUUGCGUUGCGGUAUGGUUCGUUCUUUGAACGUUACUAUGCUGUGAUGCUCUUAUUUGCAGGUUUUCGGCUAGUGUUCUUAACGGGACGUUAGUUGUGGCUUGCGAGUUUACUUUGAAUUAAUUAGAGUGCUUAAAACAGGCGUUUUGCUUGAAUAUUCUAGCAUGGAAUAAUGGAAUAGGAUUUCGGUUCGAUUUUAUUGGUUUUAUGGAGCGAAAUAAUGAUUAGUAGGAAUAAACGGGGGCAUUCGUAUUGUUACGUUAGAGGUGAAAUUCUGGGACCGUAGCAAGACGAUCGACUGCGAAAGCAUUUGCCAAGAAUGUUUUCAUUAAUCAAGAACGAGAGUUAGGGGUUCGAAGGCGAUCAGAUACCGCCCUAGUCCUAACCCUAAACUCUGCCAACUAGCGAUUCGUCGAUGGUAAUUAUGCCUUGAUGAGGAGCUAAUCGGAAACGAAAGUCUUCCGGUUCCGGGGGAAGUAUGGUUGCAAAGCUGAAACUUAAAGAAAUUGACGGAAGGGCACCACCAGGAGUGGAGCCUGCGGCUUAAUUUGACUCAACACGGGAAAACUCACCCGGCCCGGACACUGUAAGGAUUGACAGAUUGAAAGCUCUUUCUUGAUUCGGUGGAUGGUGGUGCAUGGCCGUUCUUAGUUGGUGGAUUGAUUUGUCUGGUUUAUUCCGAUUAACGAGCGAGACUCUAAUCUAUUAAAUAGAUGUCUUUAUUCUUUCGGGAGUGAAGUAUUCUUCUUAGAGAGACAAACAACG